CUGGCAGCCUGAUGCAGCGACGCCGCGUGAGGGAUGACGGCCUUCGGGUUGUAAACCUCUUUCAGUAGGGAAGAAGCGAAAGUGACGGUACCUGCAGAAGAAGCACCGGCUAACUACGUGCCAGCAGCCGCGGUAAUACGUAGGGUGCGAGCGUUAUCCGGAAUUAUUGGGCGUAAAGAGCUCGUAGGCGGUUUGUCGCGUCUGUCGUGAAAGUCCGGGGCUUAACCCCGGAUCUGCGGUGGGUACGGGCAGACUAGAGUGCAGUAGGGGAGACUGGAAUUCCUGGUGUAGCGGUGGAAUGCGCAGAUAUCAGGAGGAACACCGAUGGCGAAGGCAGGUCUCUGGGCUGUAACUGACGCUGAGGAGCGAAAGCAUGGGGAGCGAACAGGAUUAGAUACCCUGGUAGUCCAUGCCGUAAACGUUGGGCACUAGGUGUGGGGACCAUUCCACGGUUUCCGCGCCGCAGCUAACGCAUUAAGUGCCCCGCCUGGGGAGUACGGCCGCAAGGCUAAAACUCAAAGGAAUUGACGGGGGCCCGCACAAGCGGCGGAGCAUGCGGAUUAAUUCGAUGCAACGCGAAGAACCUUACCAAGGCUUGACAUGUUCUCGAUCGCCGUAGAGAUACGGUUUCCCCUUUGGGGCGGGAUCACAGGUGGUGCAUGGUUGUCGUCAGCUCGUGUCGUGAGAUGUUGGGUUAAGUCCCGCAACGAGCGCAACCCUCGUUCCAUGUUGCCAGCACGUAAUGGUGGGGACUCAUGGGAGACUGCCGGGGUCAACUCGGAGGAAGGUGGGGACGACGUCAAAUCAUCAUGCCCCUUAUGUCUUGGGCUUCACGCAUGCUACAAUGGCCGGUACAAUGGGUUGCGAUACUGUGAGGUGGAGCUAAUCCCAAAAAGCCGGUCUCAGUUCGGAUUGGGGUCUGCAACUCGACCCCAUGAAGUCGGAGUCGCUAGUAAUCGCAGAUCAGCAACGCUGCGGUGAAUACGUUCCCGGGCCUUGUACACACCGCCCGUCAAGUCACGAAAGUCGGUAACACCCGAAGCCGGUGGCCUACCCC
RNAcentral lists this ribosomal RNA (1057 nucleotides) under marine bacterium HD-8. Its description in RNAcentral is "bacterial SSU rRNA". It matches the Rfam family "Bacterial small subunit ribosomal RNA", at positions 372 to 1441 of the family's 1533-position model. The record is from RNAcentral.